AGUGAACGCUGGCGGUAGGCCUAACACAUGCAAGUCGAACGGCAGCACAGGAGAGCUUGCUCUCUGGGUGGCGAGUGGCGGACGGGUGAGGAAUACAUCGGAAUCUGCCCAGUCGUGGGGGAUAACGUAGGGAAACUUACGCUAAUACCGCAUACGACCUUCGGGUGAAAGAGGGGGAUCGCAAGACCUCUCGCGAUUGGAUGAGCCGAUGUCGGAUUAGCUAGUUGGCGGGGUAAUGGCCCACCAAGGCGACGAUCCGUAGCUGGUCUGAGAGGAUGAUCAGCCACACUGGAACUGAGACACGGUCCAGACUCCUACGGGAGGCAGCAGUGGGGAAUAUUGGACAAAGGGCGCAAGCCUGAUCCAGCCAUACCGCGUGGGUGAAGAAGGCCUUCGGGUUGUAAAGCCCUUUUGUUGGGAAAGAAAUCUUUCAGGCUAAUACCCUGGGAUGAUGACGGUACCCAAAGAAUAAGCACCGGCUAACUUCGUG
Molecule: ribosomal RNA, 490 nt
Filed under: uncultured bacterium
Lineage: Bacteria
Description: partial 16S ribosomal RNA
Rfam family: Bacterial small subunit ribosomal RNA
Source: RNAcentral